Molecule: long non-coding RNA, 41049 nt
Filed under: Musa acuminata (dwarf banana)
Lineage: Eukaryota; Viridiplantae; Streptophyta; Magnoliopsida; Zingiberales; Musaceae
Description: long non-coding RNA (MACU_LNC007437)
Source: RNAcentral
GGUGGAAAAGUCCGUUGGUAAUUCUACCUUCUAAUCGAGUUGUGAGUUCCACAGCUAUGGAAUUGGAUUCUUUUUUUUUCAUUCAGAGUCCUUGAGGAAUGCCACUGCUCUUUUUCUAAAGUUCUGUUAGGUUCUUAGUAGCAGUCGGCUAUCUGAACUUGGUAGUACCUCGAUCGCCAGUCCAACUUAGUGCCGGACCUAAUGGAUCUCAAAGUCCUCAUGAGUGUUUUCUUUUCUUUUGAGUGUUGUUAUGGGCCCGAUGGUCGAUACAUAGACGGAGGCUUGCGUCAUGCUUCUUCUGGAACAGAGCCCUCCUCGCAUAAAUUCCAAUCAUUGAAGAGGAAUGAGAGUAGACCAGUACCCGGCUCCUUACAACCUAAACAUAAUACCUACGUGGGGAUACUUCUGCAGGAAGACACGGAAGCCGCUACAAGUGUUCAAUGUUUUGGUUUUUUUGUUCGAUUAUGGAAGCUUUACAUGAAAGCUAAGAAGAUAAGGUUCGGUUCCAUUAGGUUAAGGAAAAUACAGAGAUUCUCUGGAGUAACAGGCUGAGCAAUCCGGCGUGUUUUGAUUUACGUUCAAACACUCCUCUCAGUACCAUACCUAGUAUGAGAGCCGAUGGUCAAUCUUUCUUCUCAGACUCUUUCUAGCCGGAGCACAGUACUCGACCCCAGGAACUAGUUCCAAAGGGUGAUGAGACAUUUUCCAUCAGAACUUUGGAGGAGAACUCAAAACCUAGUUAGUCCGAGGUUACAACCCUCACGUGGAGCGCCUACUAGGCUUAAGGAAGAAAGUACUAGCGGCCUGGUGAAGACCUACGGACCAGACUCACAUGAGUCCGGCGCCGACGUGCACGACUUUCUCCGGUGCAAAGUCCGAACCAACUGCCAUGGUACUGGUCUAGUAAGGAAUGACUUCUAAUCUCAUCUUCAUAGGUAUGCAGACCUUCACCCGGGUUUGUCCAGUCUACUCAAUGCAAGUGCCUGUCUUUAGCAUGAGACGGCACGUGCCUCAACGGCAAGUUCUCUAUUGCCCUUCUGGCCUUACUAGGGGUUCUCAUCUUUCCCCACGAGGUAAAGCCCUUUCCAGAUGGAGUCGUGCAUCUCUGUCUUGAAAGCCCGCCCUACUGAUAUAAGUUCCUAUCUAUACUGACUAUCAAACCCGAAGACUCUUAUUCGUGGUGGAGUGCUUCUAGUAGGAUCCGAUCCCAUUCCAGCAGUCAAACUCCUUCCUGCCUCUGAAGAUGGAAUGCCUUUCUAGAGAGAGGAGUCCCGGCUACCCGAGAACAACUGCCUGAGUGAGCUACUCGUUUUGUUCUUGUCUUCGACGUUUGCGAUUUAGGAGAAAGCCUUCCGACGUAUGCCCAACCUCCAGCUUCCCCUCGACCUGCCAAUGAAGGACAACAAAUUCAUUGACGCUCAAAGCAUCGUCCCAAACCACUGUCCUGACCAUGUAAGUAAUGUUUCAUUGUUGGAGUUUUACCGGCUUGAGCAACAUCCUCCUCGUAUUCGUAACAGAUGAAAUGACAUCUCUGCUCACGAGAAAAGCGCUUUGCGCGUCCGACCUAGUGGAAUAGGUACUUUCUACUUUCUCGAACAGAGUCAAGAUGACAAUAAUGGAUUCUUCCUUCUUUGAGUUCCGCUUCUUGCUCGAGAUCGAUCAAAUUGUCUUCAAUCGCCUCCGCUGAAGAACACAGACUGGCAUGAUUGGAUUGAAGCUAGUGGCCUCUGGGAUUGGACUUCUUAUAUACCUCGGCUUUUUUCGAGCUUGGUAACCUCGAGUUUGAUCAGGAAAACCAGCUAUUCGACGAGGCAACAACCAUUCAACCGGAACCAGAAGGCGUGGAUCAUGAAACUACCUAUGAGAACGAAGCCUUGCACCCACCUAACUCAAUUAUAGUUGCUGGGUUGACUAUUGGAUACGGAACAUAGAACUACCAGGGAUCGGCUCAAGUCUGCUAUGAUCUAACCAGUCAAAAUCUAGGAUUUGUAACCGAACGAGAGUUGUUGUUGCGAUUGACUAAUUCUAUUCCAUUUCCAUCCCGCAAAGCAUUAGAUUCGCUUCGCUGGAGGUUAUGAAAUGCAUGCAUAUGCUAAGAAAACCUUCCUACUUAGAACAAGUAAUUGUCGUCGAUCAACCCUACCUUCGGACUCUAUAUCCCUAUCGCUAUUCGCUGGAUCUUCUAAUGUAUAAACUGGAACUUAUGCUUGCAACUUAUAAAUACCUUGACUUUCUUCUUUCGGGCUGGGCUAUAGUCGAACGGAUGCCGGAAUAUUGGUUGACUGGGCCAAUGACGCUCUUUCCGGAAACUCCCUUAAUCCACCUUAGACUCCUUAGCCGGGAGGAAGUACUAGGGUUCGGCAUUCAAUGGCUUUCAAUGUAUGAUUGAUGAUGGGCGUGGAACGACGGCAGAGUCAAACUGGGCUGGGCACUCAGCAGUAGAAGUCUCCGAAUCAAAUCCCUAAUUUCCGUGCCGUAAAGGAAAGGCCGCUAGUCCAGACUAGAGCUGUCGCCCCUUACCUUCCGUAUUAAGCAGGAAUGGGAUUUACUAAACUAACAGCCCCACCAUUCCUUUUCAAAGAAUUCCAUAGGGCAGGGCUCUUACCUUCUAAAACCUUUCACCUUAGCACCAGUAGCAAAGUUCAGUUCGAACCCCAGUUGCUGCCGCUAUCAAAUUGCCUAUGUAUCUGGUAAAGAAAUGCUUUAUGUAAUAUAGGGCGUUGGGUGUGGAAAGGGCUAAAGGAGGCUUGAAGCACCUUACCCCGCGCGGCUCUAAAGGUUUCAAUCAGUCUAUAUAACCAGCAGCUUUCCGGAGGCAGGCCUUAGGUUAUCUCCUUUUUUCGUCUUACCUGGGGACCCCCGCAUUUCUCCCAGUUCUCUGCGCAGUUUGUUGUUGUUGUUCGAGUCUGUCUUCUCUAAGGAUUGAUUGAAUCAAAUCAUACUUGAGAUCGGCUAGGGCACCUGAUCCAGCGUAUUCGUGCUGUCCAACACGAAACAAACCGAGAGACAGGAGGGACGCCUUAGAAAAGCUUUGCACGCAUCUAUUUGUUGAUGAUUAUUGCUUUCUUUCGGUCCCUCUUCGGGUUGUAUCAAUUCCCCUGCGACGGCGACGUUCGAAGCCUUUCACCUUAUUUUGUCUCAUUUCAAAAAUAGGGAAUUUGACGUUGGUCUUUUUGAUUAUAUGGAGGAAAGCAAAAAGAAGGAGUCCCGUCUGUUCACGAAUCAGGAAAGCUGGCAAGCUGACCGCUAACUGCUUCUUCCUAACUAAGAAAGGAGAGCCUCACUGACAUUACACUCCCUUUUGAAUGUGCACCUGAUUCCUACGCAUUCCAACUACAGUAAAGCACUUGAACUUAAAGGGGCAUUGCCGCAAGAAGAAAGGCACUAAUAUUAUGUUAAAAGCACGCAUAGACGCACUAAUGGGCUGGUGCGCAUAGCCCUUUAGACUGACUGUGGAAUUAGUCCGAGGUACCAAUCCUAGAUUCACGUCACAAAUAGCGGAUAAGGUGCAUCUUAUCCUUCUUUCAGUGCCAGGCAAAAAGAGGAAAAGAGCUAGCAAUAAGAGGAGAGCUGGGGAUGAAUCUUGAUCGACUUAGAAUAACUUGGAUAACAUUUGGAUCAGAUUAUUGAUAUAAGAGAUAGGUUCUUUCGACUAGUUCUACUCCUCCUGCUAAUAAGAGAUAGGUUCUUUCGACUAGUUCUACUCCUCCUGCUAAUGCUAGUUACACUUUGAAAGCAAAGAAUCGAUACGUGUGCGCGAAACUCUAAUGACCUAUGGUAUUCUCUGAUCGGCCUAAUCUCGGCAGCUGCAAAUGUUGGGAGCCUAGAGCGGUGAAAACAUGGAUAGGUGUGCCCGGGAAUGAGAUAGAGACAAAGAAGCAUAAUCUAGUGGGGCUUAGCUAGCAAUUGCUUAUCUUGGCUCGGACUUGGAAUACAUUAGGUCGAGUUCAGGGCUUACCAACAUGAGGGAACUAGAUAGGGAGGUGAGUGCCUUUGUUGGCCCGGAAUUCCAUUCUUAUUCGUUCUUCGCUGUUCGUUUCAUUAAGCUUCUGUUAAUAGCCUUGGUCCAGCAUUAGAUUUCGAUCCCGUGGGUCCGGGCAUUCCUUACGGAACUUCUUAUUAUCUUGCAUUUCACUUAUUCUUUUAUCUUGACUUAACUUAUUAUUAGUGAGCUGGGCUCAGCCAGUUAAGAAGACUUCUGGAUUCUAUCUUUCGACAUUUCAUCUCUAUAAAUGGGUAGAGAAUCCCUUUCAUCUCUAUAAAUGGGUAGAGGGCGAAUCCUUGUGUAUUCCACUGGUAUAGAAUCUUUGUGUAUUACUAGGAAGGCGGUCAACUUCAGUCUAGCGGUCAUGGGAAAGCCAUAAGUUGUAUAUAAGAAUUCCUUACAGGGUCGUGAACAAGAAACACGUUCAAGCUCAAAGCUACUGGUUCUGUCAUACUCUAGGAUAUUUCUUUCGACUCUCCUGUUACUUGCUUUCCUUUCUUAACCACACACUGAAAAGAAUUCCAUUAAAGAUGUGCGGCUUCACAAGUGCAGAAAUGGUUCUUAGCCAACGGGUGAUCGAUCGGUUUCGACUCUGCCAGACGGAGACCGGCUUGACCCUAAGGUGGUAAGUCAAUUGAUCCCGAGGGGACGACAGACGCCCAAUCACUUUGUACCCGGUACCAGACUACCGGCCUCACUCAUGGCACACUCAAAGGAUUUGCAUUUCUUAUUGGAUAUGCUAUGCGGCUUCACAUCACAAGUGCAGAAAAGAAAGGAUCUUAGCCAUCGGUGACCGGCUUUCGUAAAAGCACCUUUCUUUGGGCGACAGUUUCUCGAUCAACUAGCUCACGUACAGAAAUCAAGCCAUCCACCAUCAUAUCAUCUACGAGACGAUAUUGUUUGAGAGUGAUUUGGAAUCAAUUGAGUAGUGCGCACCCCUGUAUAACUUAAGGGAGCAAAUUCCAGCAAGGGUGUAAAGACUCAAGUGUCGCGCUUUCCAAAUGUAGCUUCACCAUCUUCGUUCUGCAGCUUUCUGAAGGAAAUGGAAUGUAUCGAAUUGAACUAAUUGCUCUGACUUCAUGUAUCGAAUUGAACUAAUUGCUCUGANNNNNNNNNNNNNNNNNNNNNNNNNNNNNNNNNNNNNNNNNNNNNNNNNNNNNNNNNNNNNNNNNNNNNNNNNNNNNNNNNNNNNNNNNNNNNNNNNNNNNNNNNNNNNNNNNNNNNNNNNNNNNNNNNNNNNNNNNNNNNNNNNNNNNNNNNNNNNNNNNNNNNNNNNNNNNNNNNNNNNNNNNNNNNNNNNNNNNNNNNNNNNNNNNNNNNNNNNNNNNNNNNNNNNNNNNNNNNNNNNNNNNNNNNNNNNNNNNNNNNNNNNNNNNNNNNNNNNNNNNNNNNNNNNNNNNNNNNNNNNNNNNNNNNNNNNNNNNNNNNNNNNNNNNNNNNNNNNNNNNNNNNNNNNNNNNNNNNNNNNNNNNNNNNNNNNNNNNNNNNNNNNNNNNNNNNNNNNNNNNNNNNNNNNNNNNNNNNNNNNNNNNNNNNNNNNNNNNNNNNNNNNNNNNNNNNNNNNNNNNNNNNNNNNNNNNNNNNNNNNNNNNNNNNNNNNNNNNNNNNNNNNNNNNNNNNNNNNNNNNNNNNNNNNNNNNNNNNNNNNNNNNNNNNNNNNNNNNNNNNNNNNNNNNNNNNNNNNNNNNNNNNNNNNNNNNNNNNNNNNNNNNNNNNNNNNNNNNNNNNNNNNNNCUUAGAGAGAGUUGUAUAUAGGUAUUCUAUACCGACCAAACUAAGUAUCCAUCUCCUUACCUUCUGUAAGGGAACAGUGCUAGCUUUCUAGCAGUCUUGGUGCCAACCCAAAAGUCCCGACGUCCCGGUUUAGAUACUGCCAGCUUAUUCCAGUUUUGAACGGUAUACUGGGAACCCUAUUCGAUUUUCAUCGGCAAGACUCACUAGUCGUUCCAAAGAAAGGAGCGAGCAUCUGGCAUAGGCGCCUUUGGAAGGUAUGAUCGGUUCUUUUUUGUACAUGUAGGUUCCUCCGCUGGUUGGCUUGCGCUCUUACUUAGAAGUGGUCUCAGUCGGCAGAAAUCCAUGUUGGGGAUGGACCUUAGCGCUUCCUAUCGAUCAAGAAUCCCUUGCAUAUACAUCCCGUUUUGAGACAGACCAUAGCACUUAACUCAUCAAACCCAAAACAACAACGGCGGGGACAGAACCAUACUCGGAGACAACGGAACGGGUACCAUCUUGUCCUAGUAAACAAACUCCUCAAAAAGAAAGCCGGAAAGUAGGAUUUUUCGCUCUAGCGGUGAUUGCCCCUCUUACCUUCACUUUCGUUUUUGACCUUUAAAGUGGACCUUAGAAAGGCAUUUUCCUGUAGAUUUACGACUGAGAUUUGCGACUGAGACUUCCCUAACGGAAUAAGUCUCAUAACCUGAUCUCCUAUUUUUCCUUUACCGAGAGUACCAUGAAUUACCCAUCUAUCGUGCUAUCGUGAUCAAAUCCCUUUCUGGACUCUGUUCUUCAGCAGUUACCAGUGAGGAUCCCCCAAGGAGGAGGGAAACAUUCUAAAAGAGAAAUAAUGAACAUAAAAAGAUCCAAUUUGGAAUAGUUUUGUUAGAGUUCAAUAGCCGGGAAUAAGGCUGACCUUUCGUAAGUCCAAUACCAUGAUUUCAAACGAGUCUAUACUAGUAGGAAGCUUUUGGUAGUAGAUUGGAGUCAGCAGGCUUAUUAUUUCUGAGCUAGCUUCUUGCAGAUGUCUCAUUACUUCUUCGUGGGACGGAAUAUGAAUGUUGCCUGGAAUUGGGAUGAGGAAAUCGAAAGUGAAUAGCCAGAGAUCCAAAAUGAAUGAGAGUGGUUCGAUAGAGAUUGACCUUGUUCCUCUUGAUUCGGCUGUUCCUUAUAACUCCCCAGAGCCAGAGGUGUCUAUACUGGCAGAGACUUCAACUGAGUAGCAUCUUCUUUGUUCGCUUUAAGGUUCUCUUUCCUGAUCCUUUUCUUUGCCAUCUUGCCGGUUGUAUUUCCUGGUCCUUUUCUUUGCCAUCUUGCCCUGGUCUUAGUGUAUGGGCCAGUGGCCUCAGGAUCAUCAUAACGAGGACUAAAUCUCAAGGGAAGUCCUUCCAAUCCAAGCUUCCACAACCAGAAACUUUCCCAGUAAGAGUACGAGUAAGGAGCGGUCAAGUCUGGCACGUCCUGAAGGAAUCCGAACUGACGCAGGACCCGGCGGGGUAAGUCAAAGAAAGAACGUGGAAGUCAAGCCCAUGAUAUGCACGCAUGAGUUUCCCUCUGUAGUAAUUGACAGGGCUAAGAUAUCCUCACCAUUUACACCACCAUUUUCCGUUUCAAGGAUGCUUCUCAAUUUCCUAUAGUCUCCUCGUCAGUCGGCCACUAUAUCCUUUCUUAUCUAAGAAUGCCUUAAAAGAACUACUCGAACAAGAAGGAACGAGAAUAGAGCAUCUUUCCCUUUAGUCCGGUUCAGGAAAUUAGAGACUAGCAGCUCGUUAGUCUUCCGGGCAUUAAUGCUCGAACUCGAAGAGGAGCCUUUCCAAAAAGCUAUAUUCUUUGAUGUUGGUUCCCCCGGUUCUAUGAAUCAAUCCAACUCGAACUCUCAGAAGUACCAUAUAGUCUCUCCUACAGAAGAGCAAAUAUUGAGACAGUUGAGACCGAUACAGUACGAGACACGACUGAUGACCGAUUGCAUCUUGAAUUCCUUUAAAUAGUUCCGAUUCCAGAUUCGCUGCUAACAAGGGAAAUAAUACUGUCUGAAAUACGGAAAUCGAUUCACUACUUAUACAGUUUACAACAGAACUAGCUAAACUAUGUAUAUCGCAACGGAAGGCUUUAUUAAGCUUUAUUAUCGAUACGUGCUAUAUCUCCUUCCUUAUUUUCUCUCUUGAACAUUCUUUCUACAUAUAAGUUCCAAUAGAUCUUAGAAACUCCAGGUUGACUAUCGAUCUUUCACAGUACAGAUCCGUUACAGUUUCCCGAUUCAAGCGAGAACAGCAAUUCAUUCUGCUAUUCGUAUGUGUACCGAUUUGGAAAUGCUUUCUAAUAAGAAUAGGUCUGUCUAUAGGGGAUAGUAAGAUAUCUCUACGCUAAUAAAAGAAGUGAGUAGACUAGCGGAGCUCUUCUUAUAACUCUUAUGCUUGUAAGUAAGUAACUCUCUGGAAACUAUUAACUGCUUACCUUUUGCUCACCUAGCAGGUUCAUUCUGAAACUACUUAGCGAAAUUCUGUAACCCCGGUAUAUAUGAAAGUGAAUACCCAACUGAUACUUCCACUUCCGUUUCAACACCCAAACUAUACUUUCCUAGGCCUGCUAACAGACUUGAAACAGCGGAUUCUGUUGGGCCUGUUUUCGGCUACCCUAAUUCUUACCUUGAACCGAGUAACACAUUAAUUUCUUAUUGAGCACCAGAUAUAGAUUGUAAAUACACAGCUUCAUAUCUUUAAACUGAGUCUUAUCCUGCAGCGGAUUCUAUUACAGCUACUGCACUGAAUCACUAUUAACUUAUUGCAACACCAGCUUUGCUUACCGCAACACAAUGACUUCUUUCUACUUAUAGCGCUUCAUAAGUCAGGAUUGGUGUUUCAAUUACAAUUCUCUAGAAGUAGCGGGCUGGAUUCCAUAAGUUAGCUUCCAGGGCGAGCAACUGCAAUCAUUCUUUACGCGGCGGGACCCUCUUUCGAGUGUAGAGUGCUGUUAUGUAUUUCUAGCAACCAUCUGGUUUCAAUUCCCUUCGGAUAGCAAGGGAACAGGCGGUUAUUACAGUUCGACAAGCAACUAAGCUAAGAGAAAAGGUUGGAAAAGGGGAACGCCUAUAGGUAGUAUCCGCAUUCCCAGUUUAGAGUUAACAUAUUAGAAGCCUUUGUUUCAUUCCUUCCAGUAGUAGGUUCAGUAUGAGAAGCACCAGCGCCAUUCUUAUAGGUAGCAGUAUCGGUUUAAGAAAAAGUAAAGCCUGACUCAAAGGCAAGGCAGUAAGCCGGAAAGCUAGUAAGUAGCUUAGUUCUCAUAGACAGUAGAGCAAAGAUCCGGGUUUGCUUUUGAAUCUACCUGUGCGGGGGUGUUUUCUUCCUUUGGAUAAAGAAAAGUAUAAUUGGCAUUGGGUUUAGUCUGAGAAGCAAUAGCUGUUCUCCUAAGUAGUAGUUCGACUCUUUGUACGAGUAGGUGUACUCUCUUACUUAUCGGCUCAACUCCUUGUUUGUAGCUCCAUUAUUGUUAGCAGUAGAUGAAUUCCCCUUUUCCAGUUAAAGCGUCAGAGGCACUAGCUCAAGUCUUGCUGGCACCAAUUCGAUUCUUAUAGUCAUUAAUGAAAGCCUUGUUUUUGGGGGUGUAAGGCUUGAUUUCAAGUGAUAGUAUUGCUAGCCCGGGUUCCAUUCUUUGCAUUGGUACUUUUAGUCUCAGAUAUGGUAGUGGAUUUCCCUAUUUAGAGUGAGAGCCUUGCUCGCCGUAGCUUAGCUUUAAUUCCGUAUUGGGUGUGAAAAGCCUUUAUUAUUGGGUUAAGUCCUUUACUUAUGAGUUUAAGCCUUCAAAGAAGCAGUUGGCAUUCUGAUAGUUGCAGUUAAGCCUUGUAAGCAGUAGCCGAAGCCUGUGUUUUUGGAUUUUCUUCUUUUGUUUAUUGGUUGAAGCUCUAUUGAGUGGGGCAAGCCUUAUGAGUUCGUAUUUGUAUUCUUCAUUCAUGGUUUGAUUCUGAUCAGUGUUGGCUCGAUCCCCAUUUCUGAGUUUCAAGUAUCAAAAGCAGUAGCUCUGGCCUGUUUGUCAGUAGAUCGACUCUCUUACCGGUAUUGGUUUGAUUCUAUUAAGAGCAAUACUGUUUCGUUCUCUUACCUUGUUGUAGGGGCUUGUACGUUGCCUGUCGAGUGAAAGUCUGAUCGGUGCCAUGCAAGUUCUACUCUUUCUGCCUUUUUAGAGGAAUGAUGUGAACUUAUUAAGAAGUUAUGUUUACUUCACACCGGCACCACUAGCGAUAACGGGAACUUCAAUAUCACUUUCUUUUUUGAGUGGAAUUUCCCUAAUAAAUAGAAGCAAAAUACUAAUAAAUAGAGUAGGCUUUCAGCACCUUACUUACAGGGAAUACUCAAACUAGCGAACUAGACUCUAGCCAGGGAGUGCCAGACUCAACCCAAUGGGCAAGAUGCAGGAUCUGCCGUUUUAGUGGAAAAGCAAGUUCCGUCAUACUACCCGCGGGGGCGCAUAGUAACUGUUUGUCGUAUUCCAUAUUUCCAAUCUCAUUUUUUGACUUACUUGUUCCAUUCUGUCCUAGCUUAGCGAGGUACCUUAACGAGUUGCAGAUUCACCCAGCAAGCAAUACUCCAAGGUGGCAUUUGCAGAAUAAGAGAGAAAGUCAAAUAAGACUGGAGGUCGGUUCAGAAAUCAAGUCAGUAAGGGGAAGGCUAAUGGGUAGUAGAGCAAGUCCGAGAGACAGGAGAUAUGGAUUGAAAGGCAGUAUAGCAAGAAGAAAAGAUAGGCAGGACUUACUAAGAUACAGUAAAGUAAGCCUGAUGUGUGCGGUGCGGGUUAGUAGAAUCAGAGUAAGCAGGAGAAGAAUCAAAGAGCCGGGAGGUAGACUAAACCAAAGGGCUUCGAGCAUAGAGUAAGAGUCAAAGUUAGCAGCGUUAGUGUUGGAGUUGGGGAGUGCGAACUAGCUGGUAUUAUCAAUUUGCACUUCAAGUCCAAUUUCUCGUUUUAUUUCCUGUGGGGGAGCUGGGGAAUAAGAUAAAGGAAUAUAAGAUUUUCAGAAAGGAAAGUCAGAGUGAAAAACCAAGCAGGGUAAUUGGAAUUAGGUUCCAGUAGUCAAAGAAUAAAAGCUAGUAAAGUUAUACUCAACUAAUAGAAUAAGAAGAAGAGUGUCAGUGCUCUAGAUACAAGUCGGUGCUCUUUGGAUUAAUAUAAGAACAUGGAAUACGGAAUUUGAACCCAGAAAAGAGAGAAUGAAAGCAGAGAAAGGAAGGCCUAGAUACAGUAAAGCAAGGUUUGGAAGCCGAACACAGGCAUAGUAGUACCUUAGCUACCUAGGCACCGCAUCAGGCUUAGCAGCAAUACCUAGCAUCAAUACCACUAGCAUCGGACUGAUGGUGCACUGUUCCAUUCUUUCACUCCCCGGCUUCAUAUCCAUCAUGCUCUCUUUCACUCAUUAGUCUCAGACCCAGAGAGACAGAUAUCUCAUCAAUGGAUUGGCGUAAUCUUUCUACCUAUUGUGGGUUUCCAUAUACAUAAUAGUUUGACUAUUGACUUGGAUUCUACCGUUACUGAGCGCCUUCACUCCUUUAACUAAUGACUUGCUUUAUUGCUUCUUAGAUCGAGCACCUCCCCUACAGGUUGAAACGGACACUGCCUUCUCUCGUUAUUCAACAAACUUUUAGCAUUGAAGUCUAUAGCUCCUCGCUGUAACUAUGGCUUUACCACCUAUUAGGUUUACUAAACUCUCUCUUACUCUUUGACUACUCCUUAGAAGAAUCAGAAUGCGACUACUACUUAUCAGAAUAGAACUCCAAAUCCAAUUCCCCCUCUACUCCUUACUAGAAUACUGACCUAUCUCACUGUAGGCCUAGCCUAACUCCUAUUCUGACUGUCUCGUCUUAACGUCUUGCUUUACUUACUCCCAGUAUACCUUUCCCGGCAAUAAGUCUAUCUUUCCUUUCGAUCAAUCACUACUGCCGAGAAUACUUUAUCUGCUUGAACUUAGCAAUCCAACUCAUUAGUAAGAGAAUUGGACUCAUCAGUCAAAGAACUAAGGAAGUAUUGAACUACGGGAUACGAAGCCGUAUUAGCACCCACAGAGAAAAGUAUGACUAUCAGCAAUAGAAAACGGACCUAGCUCCCUCAUAUACCAAGCCUUAUUGCUUGACUUGAAAACUUCCCCUACUGUACUAGAACCUUACUCGUUUGCCCCUCUUUGCUUUCAAACCAACAACCCUUGUUUCUAAUUCUCCCUUUUCUGCUUCUCGUUCUGCUACUAAUUAAUUCAUUCAAUGCUAAAAAAACCUAUUAUUAUAUAAAGUAAGGCAUUACUUGCUUUUAGGCUUACUUUACUUUUGCUAAGACUUUCGCUACUCACUAUAAGAAUCGAUCUAUAAACAAGGUGCUGAAAGCCUACUGAUAAUAAGGAUUGAACCGAUGCUAACAAGAGAGCAACUACAAAUAGGGAAUCGAGCUGCUGCUUCGGCCCUUUACUUGUUGGUUGAAAACCCAGUGCUUUUCAUUCUUUCUCUAUCGAUCCGGAUCUUAGCUAUCAACAAACACAAAACCCUUUUCUUAGCUACCAUUGCUUGCUUUUAGUCUCCCUUUUCCCCGGCUUGUAGCCUUGCUUUACCGGCUUUGCGUCUACACCACUACUUAGUUGAGGUAUGGCUUCCCUGCCAAUAAGAAUGGAAAGAGAGUAGACUGCAGACAAUAAGAAUGGAAAGAGAGUAGACUGCAGAAUCGCAUGGGAUGAAUCAAAUUAUAAGAAAUACAAAAAAAGCGAAAGAGCCAAGCCACUCAAAAGUAGGAAUUCCAGAAUUAGUUGACAGGACAGAGGGAUAUCUUGAGUUAGAUGAGCCGAGCCUGUAGUUGUAGAGUAGUUUCCAAGGAAGAGCAGCCCUGCCGCGGAACACUAGUAGUUACUUGGCUCUCAUUGAUUGUUUUUCCAAGGUCAGAAACAGAAGCCUACCCAAACCUAGCAACUUGACUAGAGCGUAAGCACCAACACCCGAAACAAUAACAUCUAGCUACCCCGCACCCUAAACUACCCUUUAACACCCAACAAACACAGAUGAAACAGCAAAUCUCUACCCUCAGCCACUCUUGCAACUCUCCCUCUCCUCUGCCUACUAAAUCAGAAAUAUGUAUAAAUUAGUGUAACAGCUAAGGUUUGAAGAUAGCUCUGUCUUUCCUUCCCGUGUUUAGGCAAUAAUAAUUCAUUUACUCUCUCGCCCCUACCUCCAAUAAGUGUUAACCCCGAGCUCUACUUUGAGAAUAGAAAUAGAACAGUAAACUCUAUCUACCAACAUUGCCCUGUAACCUCUAUCUACCGACUCGGGAAAGAAAGUCAAUAACUGCUCCAUCUACAAAUCCAGCUCUUUCCCUGCCCUCUCUUGCUCUUUCAAUUGAUCUAGCAUCUUAUCUUUGAGACUCUCCUUCCUCAGAUCCAGCCCCUGCUUCUUGUUUAGAUCUUUAUACAGCUUAUGCAGCUUACUUUAGCACUGCUUCUCUUCUGAUCCCAACAUCUUCUCGUGUCUACUUAGUGCACACUGCUUCUGAUCUUUACUAUGAUUUUCUUCCUUAGUUCGGAGGUGCAUUAGCUUAGUUUUCUCUUCUCUUAUAGGGCGGCACCGGGUAAUAAGUGGAAUGUGUAUUUAUAAGUUCCAGAGCGGAGCAGGUGGGCAAGGACUUCUAGUGAAAUACCGGGGUCGGGGUGCCCACAUUCUCUUGUAAUCAAUGCAGCUCAUUUCUCUUCUUUUUUCAAUAUCAAUGCAAUGCAGUUUUGCUUCCUUCUAUUCUUAAAGCAACAGACAUAAACAUGUAAGGCUUUCGUUGCCUGUGUUCACGUGAGUCUAGGGCAUCAUAAGAAGAUUCAAUUAAUGCCGAGUUCGCUUGCGCGUUAGUCUGUUUAAGGAUGUAGCAAGCAAAGCAGGUUCGAGUACGGUUGCUCACUUAUAUGACGGUUGCUUUUGUCUAUAAGUAAAGAAAGUAGAGUUAUUCUUUUCUCUUAUAAAGAAGAAGAUUGAAACUGCCCAGCCCACGUAACUAUAUGGUUAGAGUUAAGUUGUAUAGAGAAUCAGUUGUGCGGUAUCAAAAGUGUCUUACGCGAGUCCUUUCUUCGUCGUUAAUAGCUAAAGUGAGUUAUAAGAGUAAACCACCUUUUAUUGAGACUUUACUUACUCACCUGCUCCAUCUUUGGCUUCUUCUUAUUCUGUUGUCGACUUAGGCUACUCAAUUAGGCCUUUCUCUUCGCCUUCCGGGAGUAUAUAGUGCCCCUAUAGAGUAUAUCUGACUUCUACUCACUGUAGGUAACACUUAGAAUCCGGAAACCAGCUCCGACUCCUUAUUCUUUACCUGUUGAUUCUUCUGAUACAUCUUAUGCUGACAGCUUUCCUAGCAUAGCACUCAGAUCUUGUCCACUUAACAAGUCCAGUUUUCGUGUUUGUUUGAUUUGCCAGUGAUAUGGAAAUCCCAUUCUUACUUGAGAGCACCAAGUUCUGGUAUAAUAAACAUAGUCAAGCUGGUAUAAUCAAAUAGUAAAGACACUGAGCGCACAAGCACUUCCUCCCCUGUUCCUGUUUCAUCGUCCUCAAGUCUUGUUCGGGCAAUUAGAGAUUAUGUGAAAUGCAAUGCUAGGCGUAUAUUGCGCUUCGUCGUUACGAUAAGAUAAGCAGUUAGUGUCAGUUUCCAUUUCCAUUUCUUGCUCUCAAGAUUCCAUAAAAGGUGGACUCGGCCCUAAAGGGAGUUACAGAACUUGAACUCGUAUUCCACUAUCACCUGCGACACGACCCUCAACUGAACUUACCCACUACUCGGGAAAGAAAAGCACCAGAAGGACUUUGAAGCGAUGUAAGUCAAUAAUGUUGUCAUAGGAUAGGAUGGGCUUGGAAGAGAAAAUCAAGGUUGAAGCUGCCCUAAGCCAAAGGAGAAGUCAAAGAAAGCUACUGCACCACUAACUAAAGAAGAGAAGGGCCAAGUAAGCAGAUGUAGUGAGGCCAAGGUACUACUAAACAAGGUACUCUUGCUAAAGCCACUCAAAAGGAAGAAAGUAAGUAGAUACCGCUUGCUCAUAGGCAAUAGAGGGAUCGAUAGUUAUAGAAGGUUAUAGAAUCCAAGUAAGCUUUACGGGAACGAAAGUCCAUCUGGACAGACUGAUCGGCAUGGUUGUAAUAAUAGGGGUGUGGUGGGCGGUAAUGAGACUCAAAGUAAGGAAUGUUAGGCCUAUCUCUAGUGGAUCGGUAUACUUUGCUCUGUGCCAUCAAGAAAACGAGUAUAGCAUUUUAGACGGAAAGGCAUAGUCCCCAUUUUGAGUGCAAUUCUUAUAUAGUUGCGUCUGACCUUAGACUGACUUGUUGAUUUUGUACUACUUGUCUUGAGACUCGAGAUUUGUUUCCUAUCCUAUAGUAGUUGAUUGCCUGUGUUUGGGUAGUCGUUUUCCCAGUGCAAUUAUGAUACAAGGUAUGAUACCAAGGAGCUCGAUUCUAAGAAAUAGUAAGUAGUUGGCUUCAUAGGUGGUUUGGAGUAUUAGAAGCGCAGGUUUGAGUUUGCCCCCGGAUCCGGAGUCUUAUAAUGAAAGGAAGGGUAAGUGAAAUAAAGAUUUGAGAUCAGAAAUAGCGGACUACAGCUAAGAAGCUGGAGAUACUUACCGGGGUGGGAGCAUUAUCAUACUAAACCAUAGGCAUAGGCAUUGGGAGAGCUCUGGUGCUAACUACUGGUUUUGAUGCAAGGUGCUGAGAGCCUGAUAAGCAUCAGUGAAAUAAUUCAAAUAAGUGUGGUAUAUAGUAAGGUUUAUAGCCGGUAGCGAGAGCCACCAAGCAACUACUAAUGUUGCGCACCAAGCGCCGGCCAUAAGACUAAGUGCGGUAGCAACAAUAAUAGGCCAAGCAACUACUAACGACCGCCAAGACACUACUAACGUGGCGCGGCAGUGAGUUUUAGGCGGCGCAAGACGUUGGGCGGUAGCAACAGUAAUAGAUAUUACAAGUUAUAACAAUAGAUGUUUUUGGGGCCGCUCCACUCUUUUAAUUACAAUAGAUGUUUUUUGGAGCUUCAACUUUGUUCGCGUUACGCGGCAGGCGUUCUCCACACAAUUAUAUCUUUUCCUCAUUGCUUAACACAAGCCACUAAACCCUAGUAAUAGGAAGGAAACAAGCCGACCCGCACUAACUCUAUCAGAAGGCCCGACCUCUUCUCUUACCUAGGGCAACCAUACCUCCAGCUGUUCUCUUCUCUUUCUUGCUCUAGUAUAUGCUUGCCUACUUGCUAUGUGUUUUCAGAAUGAAGUGAAUUGUAGUAUUGAAUAGAGGCACCCCACACCCCAACAAGUAACUGAAUGACACAAGCCUACCCUAAAAGAUGGUACUCUCGACUACCCGAAGAAGGUACUCUCUUUCUUUUGACUACCCGACCCCCAACUAGGCAAUAGGCACAACUUCCCGACCCUAACAACAAAAGAAUCCGUUUCGUUUUCACAGGGGUGUAGCAAGUCUUGUUUUAAGGAACUCCGCCUCUUAAUCAACAAUGACUAUUCCAUACGAGACUCAACAUCAUUUCCUCGCACCCUCUGGAUACGAGUGUAAUUGAAUUUCCUCGCGCAACUUAUGAUCCUUAUUCUGCAGCCGAUGAUCCUUCUUCUUCAGUUGGUGUUCAGUUAACUAAUAUGGAUAUUGCAUUUUCUCUUUAUUACGCGCAUCCCGAACUUGACUCUCAUAGUUGCUCUAACCUUACUCGCACCUUCGCAUUCAAAAAGGGAAGGAAGAUACUAUUGCCGGGUCUACUGAACCUGAGCUGUCAACCAGAACCAACCUAUCCCCACUUAGAUUUCAGAAUGAAAGAAACAAGCAACUUCCUCACCUGUUCCUACUAAUGAUCUUUCAACUGAAACCUGCUGAUUCAUAUCUUAUUGCAGGAAAAUCUUUUAGCUAAGCCUCUGAUUCCCUAUCUGAUUCCCUAAUAACUGUUUCUUUCCCGAUACCCAACUCUUUCAAAACUCUAUCUGGAUCUGGCAAAUCACUUGUUGCUGAAGAUCUUUAUGAUGAUGCUUAUCCCGCUUCUACUCCUUCCUCUUCUCUGACUUCUUUAUAUAAACAAAAACCUAAGCUCUUAUCUGGAUUCGAUUCUUCAAUUAGAUUCUGUCAAACAGUCAAUUUUCAUCGACUUUCCUCGGGCUGAACACCUUUGAUGAAACAAGGGAUUCAAGUAUAACUACACUUUCUGAACCAACAAGACAAACAACAUUGUCAACACCUAGAUAUCUUCUAGCUUUAGAUCCUGCUCUACCACCUAUAACUGCUGGAUCCGCUCUAACUGCUUCCUUUGCGGGCUUUCGAGUGUACUCUCCAGUUACAGAAUUGAAUACUACUAAAGGGUGUCUUUUAUUGAAUUGGCAUUUGCCGAUCCUGCUCUUUCUUCUUUACCUGUUAAAGAGAUCUUUUGCUUUCUUUAUAUAAGUAAGGGCAAAAGGCUUUCACGCCACAAAACAAACAUUUACCGAUUAAGUAGGGCAGGACAGUUUCUCAUUCAAUAAACAAACACAAAUAUGAAUUGAACAUUUGACUGACAAAUAGUAAGUAAGCGCACAGAAUCCACUUUCAUUGUAAACUCCCGUCCUUUGAUUCUGGUUUGUGUCUCUAUCAAUAGCACCCUACUGCCUCUAAGGCUUUAGUUCACAUCUUUCACUCUAACUGCUCAGCUAUCAAACUACUCCCCAAAGGGAUAAGAAUAAAGAAAGGUAUAAUCUAGUCAGUUAAGAAUACUCGUAGCUAAAGAAAGAGUAAGUCAAAUACAAGAAAAGAAUGAUAUCCUGUAAAGGAAUACUAAACAUAGGACUUGAGCUCAAUGAUAUGGGUUUGAAAAUGAAAUAAGUAGUUCCUGUUUGGAAGCAAGGAUAGUCAGUAGAGAAGUAAGCAUGCAAGACGGGAUAGGCAGAACGCAACUAAUUUGUACAGGACUGGUUUACGCUCCUAGAGAAUAAGAGGGUUAUGAUCUAGGGUCUAGUAAUAGCCUCAAAGUAGUUAGCAUAAGAGUAGCACUCAUUAGCAUAGGAUGGGACUUCCACUCACGAGUUAUAAUUGCACAGGAUUUCACCCAUCAGUUAAAGAAUGACCCGCUAAUAAAGAUAACUUAAUAAAGAGAUAACAAGAAUUCACCCAACCUCAGCUGUCCAAGUCGUACUCUUGAGUUUUUUCCUUAUUGCCCGGUCUACCGCUACUUGCUUUCGUUCUCGAUAUCCUGCCUAUCAUCCCUCUAUUCUAUAAUAUUGAUUAAGAUAAUGUGUUGACUCGCGCAGCCUAACCUAUACGAAACGGGCUCCCCCACAAGAAUUGACCUCUAGCCUAGGAAUAAGUAGACUUGCGCCCCCACACAAGAAUUGACCUCACUCUCACCUAUAUAUAGUAUCGAACCACCCUCUCGAACCAACCUAUAGGGAAGAAAAUGACUACUCAUGGGAACUGCACUAGGAACAUAGAAUCCAACUGAUGCUACCAAUACUGAAACUUGAGGGGAUCCGACCACUGCUUCUUAGACUGAAAUACCUGCUAGCUCAAUUACAUCGACCCUCACUUUAUUGAUUUAAGACCGGCCAAGUAACUACGUCAGUUACGCGGCAGUCCCUCCCUACCUUGCUUUAUUGAAGAAACUAAGUGACCUUUAUUAAAGACAUCAUUCAUAGCAUAGGAUUAAAGACAUCAUUAAUAGAUAGAUCGGACCUCACUAAGAAUAGAUAGAUCGGACCUCACUAAGAUCAGAGGUAGGUAGUUUAGGUGGGUUGGGCAAAUCAAAUAAGAAUAUGAAAUUCUAGUAAUAGAAACUAUGUGUUACGCCCUAUGUUUUACGCCUAUAAGAAAUGUAAAGAAAAGAUCUAGUUUUGAUAUUACAAAUCAGAAUUUCCAUUAGAAUGAUAGUAGAGUAUAACCUAUGUGGUUACGCCUAGAGCCAAGUAAGCAGUGUCAGAGUGAAGUGGACAAGUAAGUUUCGUAAUGAAUAAAGUAACCUCUCCUACCGCGGAAAACAGGACUCGCGGACGAACAAAGGAAUUGAGGAAGUUUCAUUUAGAUUGCUCAUAUAUUGACUAUGAUUCUAUUGGGAAUAAGAAUAGCUAGUGCGCCCACCGGGACCGGGGAAGAAGAUGAUCAUCUAUUCGUCCUUUGGGGGGAAGACCUCUAUUCGGGGAAGAAUCUUAGGAGUCGUGCAUGAAGAAGAACAAAAGCAAGAAAAAGUAGAGUUUGCUAUUUACCCCAUCACUGAUCUUAAAGAUCCUAAAGAACCUGCCUCAUUCAAUAGUAUCUUUCUAUUUGUUUGUAUGAAAGAAAGAAAGGAUUUAGCGCGGCGCUGACCUUCACACUCGAAAGGCGCAGGGGUUUAGGCCGAAGAGCUGUAAGUCUUGGCAUCUAAAGAAGGAAGGGAUUGAUUAGAAGAGAAGUCAAGAAGCAAGAGAUUGAUUAGAAGAGAAGUCAAGAAGGAAUAAGCAAGCCUACUCUCCAAGCAUUACCCCCGCCCUCGGUGCCUUCCCUUUGAUUCUUUUGUUUCCACAACCUGCCUCAGUAAGCUUUUAUUUGAUCUAUCUCCGCGGGUCACAUCACAAACCUUCUCUGGUCAGCUUUUGCUAGGAACCCCAGAAAGGCAAUUUGCUGUAGAAGGCAUUCAUUGACAUCCAUAUGCCAUUGUAGAAGUGGAGUAGCAAAGUCAGCGGAGCGGGAAAGAAUCAAUGUCUUAAGCAAGAGCCAGAGUUCAAGCAGGGGAAACAAACGGGAAAAGAAUCAAUGUCUUAAGCAAGAGCCAGAGUUCAAGCAGGGGAAACAGGGAAAAGUGUCGGGGUGCGUUAGAUCACAAGUAGAAGGUAUUUCCACUAAUAAAGCUAGGGCCAUAAUUAUUUACGCGGAACAAGCAACGUUCCAAACUUUUCAUGGGAGGUUCGCCCGUGAGCUUUGGAUUGGAGCUUCCUGCGCUGCUAAUCAAUUCGUUCUACAGGCAUUGCUCUUACCAUAUUCCAUAUUAUAUGAUUUGACCAUAUUCCAUAUUGUAUGAUGAAACGCUAGUGUUGUCUAUUUGCCAUUACGCGUUAGCGAGAAUCUAAUGUCAUGUUGCGUGUUAGUUCAGGGAGGGGUUCAGAUGUUCUAAAUUCCAAGUCUACUGUGAGUAUGCUUGCUGUGGUUAGUGACUUUUGUGAUACACUGUGCACACCCUAUGUGGUUAGUGACUUUUUUGAUACACUGUGCACACCCUAUAUGAUAUUAUGGAUUUUCACCCUUGCGCUAAUGUGAGUUUAGGUUUCUUCCGUAGCUUUCAGAAUUCCAUAUAUCUCGCCUCGCAUAUUCUAUAAUAGAUGAAUAAGGAUAAUAAAUGAAUAAGGUCUAUAAUAGAUGAAUAAGGAUAAUAAAUUAAUAAGGCACUGCACUUGGAGCUGGUCUACAAUAAAACACUGCACUUAGAGCUGGUCCACUACUACGGGCAGGGCUCGCUAACAAGCUAGGGCGCUGAAGGGAAUAGACACAAGCAAUGUUAACUAUAUUCAUAAGAAAUAGUAUUGUAUAGAACUAGUUAUUAUUGAGGAAGAGGUGAAGCAGUGUUGGCACUUGUCAGGUCAUCCGCAUAAUAGCCUGACCGAAAGUAAUCCGUGUUUGCGACGAGAGAAAGAUAAUCCGCUUCAGCCGAAGAUGAUCUAGCUCGAAGAGAAUACCCACUACACGCUUAAGCAGUGCUAGGAAAGUAUUAGAGAGAGAUAGGUUUAGGCAAUUCCAUCAAUAUAGGAAAAAUCUAUAAGAUGCACCUACCUAUUUAAGGAAGCAGUAAGGUCAAGUUCAAUAAUGAUUAGUUGGCUCGGCACUAAUGGAAGUUCCAAAGUGUCCAUUUCUUUCUGUUCGCCCAGUGCUGCUUGUUUAAUCCUGCUAUGAAUCCAGUUUCAUCCUAUUAAGAAGGCUGUGCCUGUAAAGUCGACUCGAUCAUCAGCUGUGCAAUUCAAGUAUCUCGGAAAGCACUCGAAAGACAGCGAUCGCCGGAUAUAGACCUAAUAGCAUUGCUUUUGUUUCCUUAACCUUAUAGCCGCCUUGUCUUGCCCUGUUACUAGUUCUUGUAAACUAUCUGAUUCUUUCACGUAAUCACCCCGGCAACACGCUCCUCCUAGCAUCAGUGAUAAAACAAAUAGGCUAUAAAGAAUACAGUAAUAAAUACAGAAUACAGUUAAUAGAGGCUAUAAAGAAGAGAAAGUAAUGAAACUCAGAGGUAAAUAAACACUGAAUAAAGCUCAAAUCCUCUUUUUGUUAAAAACUAAAGAAAGCCUGCUCCCUGUUGCGCGUUUGUUAGGAGUUACGUGAACUGAACCCCCAGAUUGAUUCCACGCUUACCUCUUACUUCAAGUUAUGAAUGAAAUGGAAUCCCCUCUUGAGCACGCACAUGGUAUAGAAUAUAAGGUAUGUAAAGACAUAACAACUUGUUUACCUUUGACUCUCAAUCUUUGAAUUGAAUGGAACCGCUUAGUCCUGACUGCUUCCUUCUAAGACUCAAUACUUUCCACUUUCCACUUACCUUUAGAUACGAGCAAUAUAGUAGCUGAUCGGACCACUUUCUACUUACCUUUAGAUACGAGCAAUAUAGUAGCUGAUCGGAUUAGAUUCAAUUAAAGGCUUUACGCGGAGUAUGGCCUUGAGCUACCUUUCAUUAAUGAAUCUCUCUCUCGCACAUUAGAUAUUUUAUAGAGUAACAACACCCUCGCACAUUAUAUAUUAUAGAGUAACAACAACUCACUCCACUCUGAAACGGUGGUCCAAGCCAAACUUAUAUAUGAGCGUCCAUGGUUUAGGAUCACAACUCUUUAGCACCACUCACUAUAUCCGAGUUCUUAUUUAUAGGUGAAUGCUUAGUGGCUUUCAUAAUGGAAUUGAACUGACUUCUAAUAGACCCACGUAACUCACGUAAGCGCAAGUAAAAGAAUGAGACCCACGCCACUCACUACAGCGCAAGUAAAAGAAUGCAUUGAAUCCAUCUAUUGGUGCUUAGCGCCCGACCUCUAUACUUGAGAAGUUCUGCAUUUCAUUACCUCUAUACUUGAGAAGUUCUGCAUUUCAUUGAUUUAACAGUGAAGGCACCUUCGGUAGAGCAAGUAAGGUUAUCUUACCCCCUGACUCCUGUAAGCCCUGCAUUUCUAGUGUCGUACGUGGGCAGAACCUCGCAUUAGCACUGAGUCUUGUAAAUGACAUAAGAAGUACACACUCAAUUCUGAAUACAUUACUCGGAUCUUAAAGUAAAGCAAAGGCGUAGUAAGUGAGCGAGUUGGACCUUGUGCUAACGUGAAUUCUGAAGAUUUAGAUCUACCCGUUGCUUGUUCAGAAUACAAUCUUGCAGGAAAAAAGGCUUUCAGCACCUUGUUUUCGCCUGGAGUAGUAGGUUAUGUUUUAGUUUCUUUGCCAGUUCCAUAAAUUGAUUAAGCCUCUUCUUAUCUAUCGUAGACAACAAACACUUUAUACCUCAACUGCGGAUCUUAUCUUAGAGACUUGACAAGCACAGCUCAUUCUUUAGUAUAGUUGACUUUCUCAUUAAUGGUAAAGGCAGCUUCUGAUUGGGAUCUUGCUUCCGCUUCAUAAGUAAGGGCUCAUAAGGCUUUCCUUCAUCUUUAUAAUCGUUUCACCUAUGCCUCUGUUCCACUCUGCUAAUGUAAAGAAAAACAAACCUAUACUAUAUGCCUCAAUCAAUGAGUUAUCGAAGCUAGCAAUGCCCUCUUAGAUUCACUUGUUUUAUCAUAGGUGCACCCAAACCGCUAACGCUUAUUCUCUCUUCCACUAUCCACUAUAUCAGCUCUAGGGGCGCUAAGGCGAGCUAAACUAUGAAACUUGCAUUGAGAACACAUAUCUUCCAAUAUCAAUAAAAAGUAGGAAACGACGUUAUGAACCGCAACACUAAUACCCAAAGAAACUCUAGAAGAAGCGAUGUUGCCCAUUAGCCACAAUUAUAGUAGUAACUUGGAGCUUCUCGUUGAUUCUUUUAAUGAUUUCUUCUUUACCAACUCGACUCCUUAGUGAAGUUGACUCGGUUCCGGCGAGUUUCAUCAGCAAAUAUCUUCCGCGAUUUCGACUAUUAGUACUUAACGCUAACUUAUUCGCUGGAUUUCUUACCAUGUUGAUACAAAACGGAUUUGAUUCUAGGCUGGUCUACUACAAAUGGUUUGAUGAAAACUAUCCCGAUAUUGAGGCACCGUCUGCUAACUCUCCAAACAAACUGGAUUUAGCCCCCUAUCCACGGACUCUCCCAAUUGAUUUCAUUUAGGUACCAUCCAUCAAAAUACCACUAGAAUAGGCACCAUACCAUCUUCUGAAAAUACAACUAUAGAAUCAAGGAUACAACUACAGGAAUAAGGUAGGAGCGAUCGGAAUCGGAGGUCGAUACGGAGGCCUCUAUAUACGUAAUCCAUACAAAUACGUAAGAAAUACAACUUCUAUAAGUAGGAUUUCACCCAAGAAGUAUAAGAAGUAGAAAGCAUGUCAGUUUCGGGUGAGCAAGGGUGAUUCGCUUCUCAGACACCGAAGCAGCCUAUCGAAAAACAGAAAAGAAUAAGUUGUCAUGGAAAUGCCUUUUGAUCUCUAUUUUGACUCUAAUUAUGUAUUGAUUGUAUUGAUAAAACAGAGAACUUUUUCUAUAUGAUAAUAUAUGCUUAACCCAGCAACAUUCCUUUACGAGUAAUAGAUCCUUCCUUGUCUUUACAAGUAAUAGAUCCUUCCUUGUCUUUAUUAUUUCAAUCAAAAAGCUACAUCUGAAAGGAAAGGAAACCACGAGAGAAGGUAUAUAAUAAUUGUUGGAUAUUGUUUGAUAGUGAUAUAUUGUAUAUUAUCAUGAUCCAUCUUUCUUUCCUCCACGUAUCGAUGCGCAAAACACACAUGCUAUUUCCUUACUUCCCCCAAUCAAUGCACUAAACCAAUAAACUAAUAGAAUAUAACCCCAAUCAAUGCACUAAACCAAUAAACUAAUAGAAUAUAAUUAAGUAGAGGCACCCCCGCCCGAUGCAUGAACUAUGGUGGUCCGUCCUACUAUGAUGCACGAACGAACGACCGAACAAUGAACGCUAUGCACGAACAAUAGAUGCACGCACGAACGACCACCCGACCCGAUGCAUGUAGCGCUGUCGCCCUUAGUUUCUCCCUUUAGUAUGUGUAUGGUGUUUUCGUUUCUGCCUCGGAUAGACAUCCAGUGCGGACUCGUUUAGCCUAGCCGAUCAAUCACUUGUGAAAGAUAGAUGGAGCUCCUCUUUGCCUUGCCUUGGAGUAGGAUGGAAAAGCGGAGAAGGUAAAGCCAAAUAAUCAUUUACAUUUGAUAGAGAGGUACCUAUUGCUUUUGGUAAAGGGGAAGCUCAAUAAUAAAGUAUAGAACAUUGCCUUAUUAUUCCUAGAUGUUGGUCCCUAGGGCUAUAGUAAGUCAAUACCAAAAUAACGGUUGGGACAAUAAAAGAGUUAUGAUUUUCAAGAAAGUAAGGGAGGAGCCAAAAACGACUAUACAUUAUUGACCCCAAAGAAAGAGACUUCUUAUUGACCGGGGCACCCUAACACAUUACUAUAGUGAGUUUGAGGCACCGUUAUGAAGUUCUUUUUGACUGCCCGCAACUGGUAAUGAAUUACUACUAUAUACAUUCUUUCCCGAUAAUGAAUUACUACUAUAUACAUUCUUUCCCGAAUCUCAAUAGAGAGAAAGAAGAGGGUUCGCAGUGUACUCAUCUAAUGAGAUGCAUAGAAGAUCAAUGUAGGGGGGAGAGGGCAUAGAAUUUCCAUAGAGGGUUCGCAGUGUACUCAUCUAAUGAGAUGCAUAGAAUCCAAUUAAGGGACACAGCUAUCUACCAUUACGUGGGGCCAUUCUUUUCAAUACAGAAUUAUUGACUAACCUGCUCCGUUAAGUACAUGGAGGCGGGAAAGGCUUCAGUAAGAUGUGUUAGGUUCCAUUCCAACUAUGAGCUUAUAUCUGUGGCAUCCAAUAGAAAGAAAAGAAAACGACCCAUAUACACAUAACCUAUGAGCUUCUUGAAUAACGCUCCCUUAUCAAUGUGAAAGGCUGUGCUUGUGAUUCAGUAUAGGAGAGGUGUUUGCUACCGAUAUGUGAGUAAAGGCUUACUGUGCCGAGAUGCUAUUUCAGAUAGAAUAUUGGGUUGGGCUGCCCCUAUUCCGAGAGUCACAUAUUGGGUUCAGUUGCCUAUAGGAUAUCUUGUAGUUGAGUAAGCUCCCUAUUGCCCGUAGUCUGCUUUAGGAAGUAGGGCAGCGAGCAACAGAACAGGUCAAUGUUGGUUUCUAAGCUCAAAUGCAUUGAAAUAGAACAAGAAACUACAUAUUAGCUGAAGACUACUAAACGACAGGAAUAGCCUGCUUAACGGAAUAGCCUGCUUAACGGACCUGACUGAACUACUUGAUGAUUUCUACCUUUAGGCUCUUCUCUUAUUCAACGUUUCUACCUUUCUUUAGGAUGAGGAUUUUCUCUUCUCUUAUUCAAUGUUUAUACCUUUCUUUAGGAUUAGGAUCUUCUCUUCUCUUAUUUCUACGUCUGAAGCUAAGCAGUAGUUGUCCGUUGCAAGUCUAGAUCGCAUUCAAGAAAAGGCUUCCCAUGGCAAAAGAAAGGGUCUGAUUUGGAGAAGCUGAUAAAAGGGACGAAGUAAGCGCAUAUAUGGGGAUGCCCUAAAAUGGGUAUAGUUGUCUUUCUAUGUAUAAUUCUUUCUAUGUGCGAUAGGUGCAAAGAACCGAGACUGGAAAGGAUAGGGCAUCUCAUACAAUCCGAGACCUGACUCAAACACCGACCCCCUUUACUCUACCUUAAAGCUCUAACCACUUUUAUUCGAACAAAUGUAGAACCAGAAUGGAUGGUUUUGUGCUUAUUACCAGUUCUUCCUCCCGAGUAGAGUUUAGACCAAUCAUGGUUAUGGGUAGGUCCAAAAAGCAGUUUGGAUAUUAAUGGGGACUCUAUAGACGAGGUAUCUAUAAGAAUCAAACUAUUACCGAUCUAUUAGCAACAAGUAGAUCUACGCCAGGGGAAUUAGUAAUGUGUCAGGAGAAAUUGGUACAAGAGGCCGUGGAUACACUUCUUGAUAAUGGGAUCCGCGGACAACCAAUAAGGCAUGGUAAAGUGAAACAACCAAUAAGGCAUGGUCAUAAUCAAAGUAACAAGUCAUAUUCUUUCUUUUUAGAUGUAAUUGAAGGCCAAGAGGGAAGGAAGAUUUAGUUAGACUCUCUCUGCUUGGUAAACGUGUCGAUUAUUCGGGACGUUCCGUCAUUGUCGUGGGUCCUUCGCUUUCAUUACAUCAGUGUGGAUUACCUCGAUUAAUAGCAAUAGAGCUUUUCUUUUCCAAACAUUUGUCAUUCGUGGUCUAAUCAGACAACAUGUUGGUUGCUUCUAACAUAGGAAUUGCUUCAAGUAUCAAAUUCGGGAAAAAGAACCCAAUGUAUGGGAAAUACUUCUGGAAGUUAUGCGGGGGCAUCCUUGAUUAUAGAAUAGAGCACCCACCCAGCAAAGAUUAGGCAUACAGACGGAUCUAAUCUACGUGGCCUAUUUUUGUAGAGGGACGCGCUACUUGUUUACACUACCUAUUUAUUAGUAUGUUCGAUUGGUUUACACCAUCCAUAUCUAAGUAUGUAAGGGCGGGCCGGGUCAUAUAUAUAGUUAUGAUAGGGCAUACUUUGAUGGGGAUCAAAUGGCUGUUCAUGUACCUUUAUCUUUGGAAGCUAAAGUGACGGCUCGUUUGUUUACUUAUGUUUUCUCAUAUGAAUCUCUUGUCUCCAGCUAUUGGGGAUCCUAUUUCCGUACCAACUCAAGAUAUGCUUAUCGGACUCUAUUUAUUAACGAUACGAUCGGGAAUGGUCGAGGUAUUUGUGCAAAUAGCUGCCAUCCAUAUAGAGAUAGUUGCGGAAACUACCAAAAUCAAUAAGUUUACAAUAACGGAGGUAUACGAAAAAGAAAGAACCCUACUUCUAUAGUUCCUAUGAUGCACUUGGAGCUUAUCAACAGAAACGAAUUAGUUUAGAUAGGUCCUUUCUGAUGAUGGAGACUAGAUCAACGUGUCAUUGGCUCAAGAGAAGUUCCCAUCGAAGUUCAAUAUGAAUAUUGUGGUACCUAUAAUGAGAUUUAUGGGCACUAUUAGUAGUAAGUGUGAAUAAGGCAAUCAAGUAAGUAUAAAUAAAUAGAUUGUAAAUUGGUCAUAUUUCUUUUGAUCGAGAAAUAGAGGAAGCAAUACUGGGGUUUUGUCGAGCCUACUCAUAAGCUAUCUAAACUAGGAAAUCUUAUUAGGCGAUGUUAAGGUUAAUAGUUCAGAAUGGCAUAUACAUGACAUAUCUUGGCUUGGAUAAAGUAAAGAGGGUUUCCAACAAGCAAGCUGCAUCUAUGGAAUUAGAGGAAUUGAUGAUCUUUUGACAAUCCCUUAGAAAAGAUGCUUAGUACAAGACGCUGAACAACAAAGUGGGAUUUAGGAUAAACACCAUCAUUAUGUACCCGCGGUAUCAAAAUGACGUAAAUCCAUUGAGAUAUGGUAUGCUACAAGUGUUGAUUUGAGACAAGAAGAGAAUCCGGACUAUUACAUAUACUGCUAAUAGAGUGGUUUAUAUCAUGUCCUUUUCAGGAGCUAGAGGAAAUGCAUCUCAGAUACGAAAAUCAAAGGUAUUCAAGGAUUGAUGUCGGAUCCCCCAAAGACACAUUAUUGAUUGAUUUACCCAUGCAAAGCUAUUGUAGUCAAGCACUUUCUUUUCAUUACUUGAUAGAGGAAUAAGAAUCAUUAUGGAAUUGCCUGUUAUGGAGCCCGCAAAGGAGUUGUAGAUACUGCUGUACGAACAUCAGAUGCUUGCUUUUUUGAUACCUAACAAGUAUACAAGUUUCAGUAGUGAAACAUCUAAUUGUACGUAGAACUGAUUGUGGCACUAUACGAGGUAUUUCCGUGAGUCUUCAAAAUGGGGGAUGACAGAAAACAUUUGUGUCCAAACACUAAGGGGUCGUGUAUUAGCAGACGAUAUCAUUCAUUUAGAUAGCUAGAGGUCUAUGAUGCCUUGCCACUCGAUAUCAAGAUAUGGGGAUUGAACUUGCCACUAGUUUAUAUGGGUCUAUGAUGCCUUGCUACUCGAUAUUCAUUUAUGGGGAUGGGAUUGAACUUGUAAAUUGCCUUUCAAGCACAACUAUUGGGAUUGAACUUGUAAAUCGAUUCAUUACCUUUCGAUCACAACUAAUACAUAUAUGAUAACACCUAUAUUAGAACCGUGACUUGUACAUAUAUGAUAACACCUAUAUUAGAACCUUGACCACCCCCUUGACUUGUACAUAUAUAUAUAUAUGAGAACACCCUUGAUACAUAUAUGAGAACACCCUUUACUUGCAGGAGUACAUCUUGGAUCUGCCAAUUAUGUUAUGGUCGGAGUCCUACUCAUGGCGACCAGGGCUUCAACCCGAGCAUACAAGAAUGAAAGAAAGGCUUAAAUGUCGAGCAUAGGGUUUUGAAGGCAGUAGCUUCAGAAUUGAAGUAAUAGGUCUAAGGCGGAUCCCCCCCAGCACAGUUUCCGGCUAAGAGUCAAGAGUGGCAGGCCCAAACUAAUAAGCAAGAAUACAACGUAAGUUUUCAAGUAAGCAGUGGAACAUCAAUUCUGUAUUGAUUCUUAUAACAUGCACCGCUACGCUACUCCAGCAACUGAGUGAACUGUCAGCCAGUUGUAGUAGUCUCCUUAUUCUGAGUUUCGAUUUGGAUUCUAAUAGCCCUACCUCGAUCCUGGAUCUUAUGUUUCGUUGUUCAAUACUGAGUUAAUUAGUUGUAAUCUGAUAGUAGUGAUUGCAUUCCACAUUCCUGGUUCUAAUAAGUAGCGCUAAGCUUGAGCGUUGAGUUGAAUUCCCGAGUGACCUGUUCGAUUCUUAUGCGGUUGCCCGGUUUUUCAUUCUCCAAAUAGUAGUUGAUAGCCAGGAAAGCCAUACUUCAAGUAAGGACACUGGGGGUCAAAAUCAUAAUCGAAAGUAAGCCUUACACUAGCAAGCAAAACUCUAAGCAUGAGUUGGUAGCUAGGAGCCAGGAGCGGUGGACUCACUUCUCGGGGAGCGAGGACAGACUCAAUGAAAAGCAGUAUAGUGGUAGGUUUGAGACAAGAGCCAAACACUUAGUUACAGGAAAAGGAGACUGAGAGACAGUUGCCUGGUGACUCAAACUAGGGAAUGGAUGCCCGGAGCCCAAGAGUUCAAAACAGGAGAGGCAUACUUCAACUGGAGAUAGGGGCAGUAAAAGAGUCAAACUAACAACUCCACUAAUAAGUCAAAGAAGCAAACUACUACUUGUGAGAAUCCAACAGGGGAUAAAAGAUACCGGGCCAAGGAGACCCGUCUAAGAAAACUCAUACUAAUACAAUACCUGGAAAGCAAGAGCCCUCGGACGCAGAAUCAGAACUAGACCCGACCCAGUAGUAAAAGACCAAGCCUUACACCUUACCAUAAGGAACAAGCCCCGCGAAAUAGCUUCCAAGCGGAUUCCGCGAGCCCUACUCUUUGAUUGAAUCCUUAUUGCCUUCCCGAAGGUCUGGUCUCUUCCCGAGUUGUAUGGACACCCUUAUGAGAUAGUAAGAGCAGCUAUUGUGCCCGCCUACCGAGUUGUGAGAUAAGGUCUUGUCGGGUACUAGCCCAUUCUGGUUAACAGUAGUCCGAGCCUUAGAGAUGGUAUACGAGCUAGGUCAUUAUCAGACUUGGAGUACAAAUAUGAUGUCUGGAUCUGAUCUAGGUAAUUCAAAGACUUAUUUAGUAGUUUGCCUCCUCGCCCACUUUCAAACCGCCGUUAGCUACAGCCUUAUUGUCUUCCUCGCUGUCCAAAACAAGUAACAAAUAGCCUAGCCGCCACUACUAUAGAAGGCUUCACCAGAACUCCUGAUAAGACCAAACCUAAUGGAUAUGGAACCCUAAUAGAUAUGGCCCCCGACAACUAGGACUUGGACUCGUAUCGUCAGAAUCCAGCUCUAAAGUAAGGAAUUACAGAAAGGAAAAGGAGAACUUAACGAUGAAACACUGCUCUAAAGAAUCUAGUUUUAGCUAACCCUCCCUUUGAAGUAACUAAUUGAACUUACCCAUAUCCUUACUGCCCUAUAGCCUGAGACUAGUCUUAUACUGUGCUACAUCGUACCUGUCUGUAUUCUCUAUUCUUUUAUUUAGUCUAGUGGUUAGUUGUUUGAUUCCCUCCCUUUGAAGUUGCACCAGCGAAUGUGCGUGUAUUGGAAAAGAGAAGAUGCCAUAGAAAGAAAUUGUCUAAGUAAUAGGAGUCAUUAUAAGUUGUCAUUUCGCGAGUCAAGGGAGCAAAUCGGAGCAUACAAGACACCAGCCCAAGGAUCAGAGCAAUGCAAGACAGAGCGAUACCAAUAAAAUAAUAGGAGAUACCAUAGGAAUAGAAUAGGGUAGAGGUAAUAGGAAGUUAGGAGCCGACUAUCGACUAGAAUAAGAUAGGAGCUAACUAGAAUAAGGUGGGAGCCCCGACAAGUAACGGGAAGGCCGGUCGAACACAUGGCCUUUUCUCAAAUUAGAGAAUGACGUAACGCAUGGGAAAUAAAGAAGAAGUUGUAAGCGUAUCAGAUGGAAAUCAAUAGAAGUUGUGUCGAUGUUGCAAGCCCUAUGGCCUCCGGUCGACAAGAAUAGGUGGGCACCAUUAGUGAUAGAGAAUGACUUUAGUGGUGGAGCACCUUGAAUCAUCAUACCGAAAUCGUAUUUCCUUUGAUCUCAUCUAUAAACCAAUUCGGUUCCUUAGCCCAGUCCUGGGUGAGACAGCACUCUAAAUCAAUUACUUUCGCUCGGAUUACUUGUUGUACAGCUAACCUAACCUAACAUAUAGCCAACCUAACCUAACAUAUGAUGCUAUGACCCCUGGAGACUUAGUUAAUGACCAAUCAAAGAACCUACCUUUGAAGUCAAUUGUAGCUAACCCCACCUUUGAAGUUGACCCUCGAUCCAAGCAAUGCAAUAUAGUAGGUUAGUGUUUCGUGCCGUAUUCUUACGGGGUUGAUCUGAUCCCCUGCCCACAGAGCUAAUUCCUCUAGUAAGUAGUAGCACAAAUUCUCUAUGUCAAGCUGGCUUCCGUAUCCAUUGGUUCAUUCAUUCCCUGGGGAAAUAUUCUUUGACUUACUCAGUUGCUUGCCCGAGUUCCAUUAUUUGAGUUAGUUGCAGGGAUGCGAUACAGCGUACCCUCUGUUCGAAAGUCAAUAAGCAAUUUCAGAAUUCUAUAAAUGGCAGGCCCAGAGACAUGAUAGUCAGAAUGCAAGCUAGGGGUGUUGGUUUCAAAGUCCAGAAAGGUAGGCUUGGUUAUUGCCCAGUUAUUCCAUAUUCUAGAUUAUAGGCUUGGUUAUUGUCCAGUUAUUCUCUCUUCUUUGGUUGACUCUGAUACCUGUAUGCACGAGAUCGUACCUGCCUAUGUCUUACUUGAGAGAAACUUAUGUCUUACUCGAGAGAAAGGAGCACUACCAUAGGCAAAGAAAGCAAUAAUCGAAAUCAAUAAAGAAGUUCGAAUUAGUUAUUAGGUAAGAAGUCCUUUAUUAAGUAAGGGUUAGUGACCCGCUUCCAGUAUAACCAUCCGACUAACCUUCAUAAGAUAAUCAACACAUAGGAUCUUGCUAUUUUAGUGAAUUUCUUGCCAAAAACAUCACGUAAUUACUUGGCUGUUUGCUUCUUUUCAGUAGUAGUAAAGUUCCUAUUAGUAUUGGUAUGAUUACCCUCCUACAGGUAAAGUUGAAGAGGCUGUAGUUAUAGGUUGAAACCAAGCAAAGAAAGACUCGGUGCCCCAGAAGCAAGGCAAGGCUCGAGACCAUUAGUUAAAGAACGAGAGACUUGAUCAGUAGACUAAGAAAUGGUAGCGGCAGGCUCGCUUCUUAGGGUUAUUUAGAGCCUUCGACUGCGGGGGUGAAUGUCAAGCCUUAGUUCUUAGUUUGAGUCUCAUAGCUAUGGUUUCAAAAGUGGACUCAUUGAACGGAGAUCAGUGUACCUAUUUUGCCUUAGGGCAAUUCUUGGGUUACGAGUACAUUCCCUCUAAGACCAUGGGUACGGAAUAGGAGGAUGGGGCCAAAAGCCAUAAGAUUAGGAUGGAAUUCGACCCCCACAUUUUCCAUCACGUGAUAAGGGAAUACCCCAAGGACAUCUUUCUUUUAGUGCAUAGGUUCCAUCCAAGCAAGCCAUAGUUACCCUGAUUGAAUAAGACCCAAUGCUCUUUUCAUCACACAGGCUUUAUUCCAAUCCUUGAUGCCUAAAACGCCCUUGAUUCUUUGGAUGGCAAACAGAGUCCCCAGCUGACUUUAGCUCCUCUAUCUUCUCUUUACCAGCUGACUUUAGCUCCUCUAUCUUCUCUUUCUCUUAAGAGAGAGCAUGAAUUUCUUCUCAAUAUCUGUCUAGUGCCCUUUAGUUUGGGAAGGAUAACAACAUUAUACACCAUUAUAGGUUUUGUUGGAUGCUAAAGAGGAAUGAAUGUAUAAGCUGUAAACCGCCAGCAAUCAAUAUCUUCUUCACUGUCCUGCUCUCUUAUUGUUUUUAGAUAGGAAUAUACUUCAAAUCAAUGUCAAUAUCAAUAUCAAUAUCUAUUUCUUAUUAUACCCUCUUCACUCACUGAGUCUUCCAGCCCUAUUUCUUAUCCUCUCACUGAGUCUUCCAGAAAGAAGGGGCACGAACAUAUAUAUGGAUUACUGGCAAGGAACUGCACUAAGGAAGGCUAAUUCAUAUAAGCAAUAGGAAUGGAAAGUGGCUUUCAGCACCUUCUCUGCCUGCCCCAAGAUCCAACUUUCGGCAUGUCUUCGAUCUAGUGAAAGCUAGGGCAAAAGAGGAAUAUAAUCAAUUUCGUAUUUCCCCCAAACCUUAUUCUUAUUAGAUUCAUUAGAUUAUUAUAUUCUAUCUUCUAUAGGAGCACAUCUUAAACAAGGGGCUUGCCCUUUUAGAUUCUAAUAUUCUAUCUUCUUAGGAUUCAUGAGAUUAUUAUAUUCUCUAUUAAGUAAGCGUAAGUCGAGGUAAAUACUCAGAGGAUAACCUAAAGAAAAGGCAAUUGAUUUGAUAGCAGAUUAUAUAAGGUAUUUGUUUCUACUCUAUACUAGAUUCUAUGCUAUGUCUUCUAGAGAAUGCCGAGCUACCAAACAAGCCGCAUUAGUGAGUUCUGAGUUUGCCCUGCCAAUAGCGGAAUAAGGGUAAGCCCACACACGAGCAUAUCUAGUUAUCCUUACAGCCAGAGAAUAGCAAGUUUGAAAGGAGGAUUCAGCUAUCUACAAGUUAACGAAAGUCAUAGCGCUACUAUCUACUGCCAUCUUUCCAGUUCCGGCUUCUUUUACACAUGAGUCAAGGGAGUUUUGGGGGGCUUGGGUAUAUACUCCAAAUUCUCUCUUUUGGCCAUAAGGUCAAAUCUUUUCUUUCUCUAUGGAAGGUUCCAUCUUUUCCCCUUUAGAGCAGCUAACUAUUCUGAGGAACUCUUAUGCCUAAGAAUCCCAUUAGCUAAGAGCAGAGAUUUCGAUUGAAUACAAAGAAUCAUCCUAUUUCAUCUAGCAGGUAAAUGACAAUCUUUUCCGAGCCAUUGUCCUCUUACAUUGCAUAUAUUCUUUCUUAUCUAGUCAGUAGCAUAUUUAGUCCUGGACAAGGAUCCUUAAAAAAUGACUACUAUAUUACUGACCAUUCUUUCCUAACUAACUUGUGAGCCUACCUUGCUACUUAAUGAAACUCCUGGCUUCACCGGCUAUAAGUGAUUCUCAGCUUCUCCUAUAGCAUUCUGUCCCGUGGGAGUUGCCCGUGAUACUUCUAUUCCAGCCCUACCAAUCCUUCUUUUUUCUUAUAACUUCUAUUCCAGCCCUACCAAUCCUUCCUUCUCAUCCGUUUGAUUGAAAGUAGAAGUUUCUUUCUUACACUAAGGGUGGAGUCUUUGCUUAAUCAGUAAACUGUAUAGGAAAGGGUAAGCGCAAAAGACGGAAAGAAUAGGUUUAGUCAAAAGCCCGAAGCGAAGGUGUGUUAGCUACUUUACCACAAUGAAAGGCUGCAGAAAAGUAUGUUUUGUUACUAAAUGGCUUUCUUCUAUCAGAUGUGCGUACACUUACUGUUAUAUUCCUGUUCUAUUAUCAUUCUGCAUCGCGCCCUACUCCUAUAGUGAGAGUUUGGAACUCAAGUAAGCUCCAGCGCCCCGAAACUAUAAAGAAGCACCCCGCCCGAACACAAUAAGCGUAAGCUAUAGGCUUGUUCCGUUGCUUGUUAUCCGAGAGAAAGACUUGACUCGCACUAUGAUUAGACUCAUAUAUAUAAAGAACAUAAAGAGACUUGUAUUAAAUGAAGUAGACCGCGCGGAGGGAGUAAUUGAUUCUACUGUUUCAAGCGCAUAUAGGAAUUGCAGAAUAUUAUAUAGAUGGUUAACUCUAGUAUAGAUUUUUAUGUAACCUUAUACCUAUUACUCUCUUUAGGUGCUAACGGGCUUGUUGAAAAGAGGGUUUCACAGCUUACCUUUACUGAGAAUAGUGCUUCAGCUUCAGUAUCGGGUGUUUGUCAAUCGGUAGAGGUUCAACACCAACAACAGGACUUGCUUCUGACCUUGCACCAAACCAAGGAAAACUGUCAUUUAUUAGCGAGCCGAGCCCAGUAUAGAUCCCGACCCACCAUCCGCACUUAGUCUUGAUCCGAAGUCAAAUCAUUCUUCAACUUACCUGUGAUUAUAGUUAGCACUUGAGCGGGUGCCUUAGCAGAGGCCCUAUAGAGCGUUAGCCAUUUUCGUGUUGGAGCUUUGUGUGAUGUUACUGUUUUCCAUACCUUUUGCAGUACUCACAUUCUAUUCUUUUUAGAGUUUCAGAGAACAAGCAGGUGCGCUAGUUAGUCAGGUACCUUAUGUCUAUUAGUUGUGGAUCAUAUUCAUUGAUCUAUUAUAUCGUAUGCUCCAUUCUCUUCUUUAGAGCAGCUUGUUUAGUUUAGUUCAGGGGUGCGCCAAUCUUAGUAGUGUUUCAGUUAUUUUUCAUCAAUUAUAGAAUGACAUGUUCCGGAUAUUUGAAGUAAGCCGCGAAUCUGCUGAAGCUUAUGCGGUGCUAAAGUUGUCGAGGUUCGGUGUCUAAGAGAGAGGUUAUUUAUGGGCUUGACAUCGAGUUCGGGCAAACUGAUAGACUCCAAAAGACAGAUUGGACUUGCAAAUGAUAGAAGAAAGUAAGCGCAGACUUGUUCACUAGUAAGUUUGUUCUGUUCCAAAGCUAACUAAUGCCCUUGCUUCAUGUUCUCUUGCUUCUUGUUCUGUUCCAAAGCUAACUAAUGUCAUUGCGUUAACGGUAGUGUUAAGAACGGACAAGUAACUACUAUUAGAGUGAAGCCUUGCUUGUUGGUGGGAAGGUGUGGUUUUACAAGUUUCUAUGCCCCAUGUGCAAGAUGCAAGAUCAAACAGGGAUAUUCAAUGAUUACUUGAGAGUGUCAGUUGCAAGUCCAGUUCUCAGAUUUCAAUUAGGAUAAGAAGCACCAGCUAUAGGUUUCAAACAAGCAUAGUAAGAAUCACGCAAGUGGAGCAAGGCUCGAGAUCAGCAGUUACGGAAUGAGCUUCAACGAAGUUAUAGACUGAAAGGCAUUAGUCAAAGAACAAAAGGCAGGCACAUAAGACUGGGGCGAGUGCAAGCUCUCCGGUAGUAUUUUCAGUUUCCCGGUAGACUCAAGGCGAGUUGUAUAAGAAUGAAGUUCCGGGCCAGGAUUCAAUGAAUUGUUGACAUAGGGGAUAGUUCAAAGAACAAGAGUUCAAAGAGCAAGAUGCGAUGCAAGAGAUUCUAUUCAUUCUGAUUCUAAGUAUAAGUAGAAGAUAGUAUUAGAAUAGUAUGUAUGAGUAAGUAAGGGUACGUCUAGCGGAAUAUGAAUAGGGUUUUCGAAUAUGGUCCGAUCUUAGCCGGUGGAGUUUUCUUCUGAUUACAAUGAGUUAUAACCGACAAGCAACGCCCUUAUAGUACUGUGUCAUUCUGACUUUAAUAUAAGAGCGAGUUACUGAUUCUAUUACUUAAUGCGUAGUUGCGCUAAGUACGUAAGCUAUAAACACAGAAUUUCACUGCAACCGAGGUGCUAAGAGCCUUCUGAUUGACAUUCCUUGCCCGGUGAUAGAGGUAGAAUAAACUAUAACUACUAACAUGUGCUCAAUAACUGACCUAGUAAUUGAAAUGUAUACAUAUGGAUGUGCUAGAUUACUUACUUGUUCCAUUACGACUUGCUAAAAAUGCCGUACCUGCUAAUGACUUUCAAACUGAAACUCUGAGAACAAACUGCAUUCUAAGAUUCUUACUUUAGAGCGGAAACCCUUAAGCUCCAUUCUUAAAGGGCCCUUUGAAGUUCAGUGAAAUUGAGGAUUUUGUUUGCCUUCGAGCGAUCGUCAGUAUCAAUUGUCAGCCAUUGAUCUAGUUCUUGCAGCUAUUUCCAUUCUUGCCAAUGCAGCUCCAGGUCAGUCCCCAUCUAAUCCCUAUCCUUAUAGGUCGAGUUCCUAAAUCUGUUUUUGAUUUCGAUAAUGGGAAGGCUUUAAAGCGAGUGCAGUCCAUCGGCCUGUGAGCUAGUUGCAAGCGGGUAAGCAGUAGUCUUUCCCAAGGCAAGCAAGAUAGUCAAGUAAGAAAAUCAACCUAAAGCCAGCCUAAAGCCAGCCUAUAUCUUAUAGUCAGUUUGUAUCGUAUAGCCGUCGAGUGAGCAAUCUUGGUUAGGCCAGUGUAUAUUUCUAGGGGUAAGGCCAUAAAGUGAGACCAAUCCUGUGAUCAAGCCAUAAAGUGAAAAGUAACCAAAAAGCAGGAGUUGGGGAAAGGAAGUUUAGGGUAAGGGCUGGAGUCAAGCGAAAGAAGGCAGUUUGAAAGCAGACAAGGGAGAACACGUCAGCCCCAAUCCUUUAAUGUCGAUCCAGCCAAGGAAAGAUCCGGUGGUAUAAUACCUUUAUUAUGAGUCUGAGGGCAAGCAUCCCUAGGUCUAAAGCACUUUGAAGUAUUCCUAUCCUAGUCAGACAACUGUUUUAUUCAGCCAGUGAGAAAGAAUCCUUUUUGUUGAUAGUUUUCAGGUGAGCCUAUCCAAUUGAAAUGAUACUCGUCCUGUUGCCUUCCUUGCGGCUUGAGUUCUCUUUAAAGAAAGUAUCGGUUAGGUCCUUUUCCGGCAAUGGGAGAUCUGUUGGGACUGUCUUUCCUUGUUGAAAGGUUUUAAAGUAGGUAGGGCAAAUCCCUAUACUUUCUAUGAAAAGUCAUUUCUUUCGUACUGCAAGUCUAUUGGGUUGGACUUCUCUUACAUACGCCCUAAUUUACCCUUCGCCCAUUUCAUUGGUUGUUGUGGGUCCAUGCGAUAGAUUUCCUUGCCGCGUUAACAUUAUUCUUUCUUUGUGGAAUAUAUACUAUUUUACUGAUUCACUUUGUAGCCAGUGCAGUGGGAGAUCCAGUUUCAUAGUGGCUUCUGUCUUGAACUUACAAUAAGGGCCUCUCUACUUCUAGAAAAUCAUUGAAUGCGCCAGCAAGUUAUGUAUUCUGGCCAGAUCUUGCAUUCUAUAACUGAAACAAUAAAGUCAAUACUGAAUGGAAUCGAAAACGGAACUAAUGGAAUUUAGGAAAAGAGGCUAUGGUUUGAUUGAGUAUAGAGCAGUCCUGGCCUUGAAGCGGGAAGUAAAGGUGUUCGAGUGGUUCGGUUCAGAGAGGAGAGUAUUGUUCCAGCAGUAAGCAAUGAAUGUAAGCAAUAACAAAUAAGUAGAAGCUCUUUGGUCGGGGGUGGGUGGAGCCUGAGUUGGUAUUGGUUUGGUUCUGUGACUCCUUAGUUUGAUUCUGAGUUGAACUAGUCUCAUCCCUUGUUUGAUCAGUUAUCCUUAAUAAAGAUAGAUCCAAUUUAUAUGUCAUUUUCCCUUCCUAAUAAGUACAUAGGUUAGUACUUUCAAAUGACAAUAGAUGUCUUCGUGGACUCAGGUACGAGAUAGCACAUGCCCUUUAUUUAUAUUAUAGCAAAUAGUGAUGACCACAGGUAUCUGUUGCCUGAGCUCGGGAAGUAUAGUAAAUAAGAUGUAUAGAUUGCGGAGAUGCCCUAAGUUCGUGAGGGAGUCUAGGUUCUUCUAGUUACGAGUAAGGAGUUAACAGUUCCACAAGUGGUGUGAUAGUGGAAUCCCAAACUAGUAAACGAGUAGUCCAGAGCCAGAUCAGAGGAGAGAUCAGAGGAAAGAUCAGAGGCUAGAUCCGGAGCUGGCUUAGUCUUAUUGGGUGCUAGUGUAGUCGGUGAAGAAAGGAUAGCUUGGGUGUUGAAUACGUUUCUGUUCUUGUGUCGGUACUUAGAAUAUAUCACUGUCAGGUCAACACCAAAGAAUGGGUGAUUAAUAGGCGCACCCCUAAACUCAAAAGAAGGCAUUGCAUUUAGUGCACGUCUUUCUUAUAUAUAAGUGGGUAACAACACGGAUUGACUUCUAGUAUAGCGUGGAGUGGGCCUUACCAAAUACAGGAGACUAUACUAAUGAAUUAGCUGUGCGAGGAAAGGAGACCAGAUCAGAUGCAAGCUUAGAAGUAAUGAACCCUAUCUUUACUUACUAAAAGCCUACCGAUUGCCUGAAUUAGGAUAUGUCGGAUAAUUUGUGGAUUUACCUAUAGGAUAAUUUGUUGAUUUGUUCAUUUCAGUGUCUCUAACAAUAACUUUCACGGGCUAAGAAGUAACAACUAGAUCUAGCUGGUAUUACCAAUAUGUAGCAUUUAGUACAAAGAUAAGAAAUGCACUCAGUAGUUCAUAUAAUAAUUGAACUCAGUAUUUCGAAUUCAACUCUACAGAACAGAGGUAGGGAAUUACUAUUACCAGAACCCGCAUGUAAGUAGUUCAUAUAAGAAUGGAAACUUAUUCCACAAGGGAUGAAACUCAUUCCACUAGUAGCAGCUUUGCCCGCGACUCCUCUAAGUCACUAACUAGUUUACUGCUUUCUGACCUAUACUAUGGAUGUAGUUAAAGACCGGACCCCUAUUCAUUGAGUUCCCGAACACAGUACAGUUUCUUUAUUACUUACCUUGUUUUAAGAACUGCUUGCAGCCGGCUUAUAACUUGUAGCUGACCUAUACUAGAGAUUUCAAAGUCAGUAAAGUAGAUUUCCCCACUAUUCCAAAGUCAGUGAAGUAGAUUUCCCCACUCUUCCAAAGUCAGUAAAGUAGAUUUCCCUACUCUUAUAUGAAAGUCAGAUAUAUGAAAGUCAGAAUUAAGGUAGAAAAGAAAACUGAGGAGCCGAAUGAACUCUGUAUUUGUUGACUCCGGUAGAUUAGAGCCCAGAAAAAGAAUUCUUGAUUGAAACUAAGAGCCUGCCAUUACUAAAACGGAGACUUGCUUUACUGUUUCCCAGACCCGAAGCCGCCAUUAAGAAUUGAGCCAUUAACUGAUAAGAAGAAAACUAGAAGGUAAGGAAUUGCACUCAACAUCCAGAUCCCUAUGUACCCAGUAGUAACCUUCUCCUUUUGAAACUAAUCCCUAUGUUCCAACUAGAUGAGUCUUAUACUGAAAACUACCGAACUACCUCUCAUUCUUUAGGAACAGAUCUAGGCUCCGACUCUCCCCUUCCAUUCUGAAAUUGAUUAUUCUGUUCACGUAUAAUAAUGCAAAUACUAAUAUGGGUGACCAAUAUAGUGUACCGACUAAUAGAAUCCAACUACGCCUGGUAAUGCUGGUAAUGCUCCGAACUACGAAAUAAGGUUUGCUCCACCACUUAUUAGCCUUCUUUUCUAGCUUUUCAUUCUGUGGAUCUACCUUACUACUGACGUGACGUUCAAUGCAAACUACUUAAUUUCAUAGAGAAAGGAGAGAAUGUCAAAUAAGGAGAAAAUAAGCCUGUGAGAGACCAGACCGGAGUAGAAGAGGUUCAUGCCGAAAUUGUAUUUCCAGACAAGACCUAAGCUCCCUAGCUACAUUCUAGAACCUACGAUCCAGAUCCUUUCUUGACUUCUUAUGUGUCUCACUAUACUGACUUGAGUCUUGCUUUACUUGCUGUCAAGCUGUAUCUACUGUUAACAAGACUUAGACUUCCGCUAUGGACUUCGAACCUUACUUCUGUCCUUAGAGGUCUUAGCCCCAAUUAUGACGGACUUUAUUGCCUAUGCGUUAGAGCCCACCGCUGCUGCUUUUAAGCCUGACCUACCUUACACUCCUACUCUUAAUACCCUUGGGUUCAUUCAUUGUAUAUAAGUAGCUAAUUUCUCAUUGGCGGAGGAAUCUGAGUGAGAUGCCGGGGAUAUAUUCUUGUUAGCUGCACUUGUCUCCUAUAGUUCCGAGGUGAUUUCUGUAGGCACUUUUUCGUUCUCUUACUUUUGAGUGGAAUUCCCACUCCAGCUUUAUAGUGUUCUACUGACUACUACCUGUCUUGGAGCUCCGGUCCCUAUCCUUUGUAUUGAGCUAGAUCCUUAAAAGCACCAGUUGCUCGUUCCAUUCCUUCCUGCAGUAGCUCUGUUCUUGCAUGCCCGGGCUCUAUUCUUCCCAGUAGCCGUUCCAGUCUUUCUUUGGUCGGUGUCAAUUCUUAUUGAGAGUAGUGAGAGGUCUCGGUUUUGCUAGUGUUCUUUAGUUAAUAGCAUGGUUUUACUCUGACUUUGGAGUUGAUUUACCUUGCGUAGCUUCUGAACCACUUCGCCAACAACUCAUUCGUAUACGGACUUCUUUCAUUCUCGAUAUACGCCCUUACUUACUUGAAUAGGAAACCAGCAAAGCAAGGAAACCAACAAGGGAAGAAAGAUAAUAAGCAAGAUCUGGAUUUGAAACAGUAUAUUAAAAGCAAGGGCUGCUUUAGGUGCCUGUGUUAGCUCCCAACGAAGAAAGGACGGACUCCCUUUGAAAGCUACCGUGAGCCAAAGGAUUUGUUCAGUGGGUGUCUUUACUGCAAGAAAUCCAUACCUUGUUUGUGCUCUAUACGCAUUAUUAGAAUUCCUUGAUUUGACUUGCGCUAGUGGAAAGGUCAAUGAAUUCUUUGUUUACUCUGGGGAUAAGAUAAAGUAAGUGGAAUACAGUUAAGAGUCAAAGGGCUGCGAGGUGACUUUCUCCGGGCAAAGGAGUUGUUGACUUUCCGGGCGAUAAAGGAGUUAGAUUAGUUGUCGUGAGUUAGUUAAGUAAGUAAGGAGUAAAGAGUGAGAGAGAUCCUAAGUGAGAGAGAUCCAUAUAAAAGAAAUCCUAAGUGAUAGAGAUCCAUUGAAAAGAAAUAUAAAUAAGAGAGAUCUUUAAGUGAUAGAGAUCUAUGGAAAAGAGAGAAUAGUGGAAUAAUAAGCUUUACUAGUAUGUGUGUAAUGUAAUAAAUGAGGUUACCUAUUACUGAGGUAAUAGCAGUCAACAGUGCUGUUUACUUUGAUAAUAGAAGGUACUAAUAAGAAAGGAUAAUCUAAGGUACUAAUAAGAAAGGUGUACACUAAGAAUCAGAUUCAAGCUUGUGCCUUUCCUCCGCUCUUGUUGAAAAGAAUUGUUAUUGGAAGACCAACCAACCCUAUAAUGAAUUACAUUAGGACAGAGGCAGCUAGCAAGGACGACACUACCCUUAC